AAAUUGAAGAGUUUGAUCAUGGCUCAGAUUGAACGCUGGCGGCAGGCCUAACACAUGCAAGUCGAACGGUAACAGGAAGCAGCUUGCUGCUUUGCUGACGAGUGGCGGACGGGUGAGUAAUGUCUGGGAAACUGCCUGAUGGAGGGGGAUAACUACUGGAAACGGUAGCUAAUACCGCAUAACGUCGCAAGACCAAAGAGGGGGACCUUCGGGCCUCUUGCCAUCGGAUGUGCCCAGAUGGGAUUAGCUUGUUGGUGGGGUAACGGCUCACCAAGGCGACGAUCCCUAGCUGGUCUGAGAGGAUGACCAGCCACACUGGAACUGAGACACGGUCCAGACUCCUACGGGAGGCAGCAGUGGGGAAUAUUGCACAAUG
Molecule: ribosomal RNA, 376 nt
Filed under: Escherichia coli
Lineage: Bacteria; Pseudomonadati; Pseudomonadota; Gammaproteobacteria; Enterobacterales; Enterobacteriaceae
Description: bacterial SSU rRNA
Rfam family: Bacterial small subunit ribosomal RNA
Source: RNAcentral